This 206-nucleotide ribosomal RNA is filed under the name uncultured bacterium. Its description in RNAcentral is "partial 16S ribosomal RNA". It matches the Rfam family "Bacterial small subunit ribosomal RNA", at positions 568 to 774 of the family's 1533-position model. The record is from RNAcentral.
CGCGUAGGCGGGAUGGCAAGUCAGUCGUGAAAUCUCUCGGCUCAACCGAGAAACGUCGGCUGAUACUGCCGUUCUUGAGGGAUGCAGAGGAGACUGGAAUUCCCGGUGUAGCGGUGAAAUGUGUAGAGAUCGGGAGGAACACCGGUGGCGAAGGCGGGUCUCUGGGCAUUUCCUGACGCUGAGGCGCGAAAGCGUGGGAGCAAACG